This 73-nucleotide transfer RNA is filed under the name Mustela putorius furo (domestic ferret). It matches the Rfam family "tRNA". From Rfam's summary of the family: Transfer RNA (tRNA) molecules are approximately 80 nucleotides in length. Lineage: Eukaryota; Metazoa; Chordata; Mammalia; Carnivora; Mustelidae. The record is from Rfam by way of RNAcentral.
ACCUGACUGGCUCAGUUGGUAGAGCAUGUAACUCUUGAUCUCAGAGCUGUGAGUUCGAAUUCCAUGUUGGGGA